This 164-nucleotide ribosomal RNA is filed under the name uncultured bacterium. RNAcentral's name for it is "partial 16S rRNA". It matches the Rfam family "Bacterial small subunit ribosomal RNA", at positions 355 to 511 of the family's 1533-position model. The record is from RNAcentral.
UAGGGAAUCUUCCACAAUGGACGCAAGUCUGAUGGAGCAACGCCGCGUGAGUGAAGAAGGUCUUCGGAUCGUAAAACUCUGUUGUUAGAGAAGAACACGAGUGAGAGUAACUGUUCAUUCGAUGACGGUAUCUAACCAGCAAGUCACGGCUAACUACGGGCCAG